This 465-nucleotide ribosomal RNA is filed under the name uncultured bacterium. RNAcentral describes it as "partial 16S ribosomal RNA". It matches the Rfam family "Bacterial small subunit ribosomal RNA", at positions 338 to 795 of the family's 1533-position model. The record is from RNAcentral.
CCUACGGGAGGCUGCAGUGGGGAAUAUUGCGCAAUGGGCGAAAGCCUGACGCAGCGACGCCGCGUGGGGGAUGAAGGUCUUCGGAUCGUAAACCUCUGUCAGCAGGGAAGAACGGUCACUGUGCUAAUCAGCAGUGACUUGACGGUACCUGCAAAGGAAGCACCGGCGAACUCAGUGCCAGCAGCCGCGGUAAUACGGAGGGUGCGAGCGUUAAUCGGAAUUACUGGGCGUAAAGCGCUCGUAGGCGGUAUGUCAAGUCAAGGGUGAAAUCCCCGGGCUCAACGUGGGAACUGCCUUUGAAACUGGUAAACUGGAGUGUGUGAGAGGAUAGUGGAAUUCCAGGUGUAGGAGUGAAAUCCGUAGAGAUCUGGAGGAACAUCAGUGGCGAAGGCGACUAUCUGGCACAUAACUGACGCUGAGGAGCGAAAGCGUGGGUAGCAAACAGGAUUAGAUACCCUGGUAGUC